Molecule: ribosomal RNA, 253 nt
Filed under: uncultured bacterium
Lineage: Bacteria
Description: partial 16S ribosomal RNA
Rfam family: Bacterial small subunit ribosomal RNA
Source: RNAcentral
UACAGGGGUGGCAAGCGUUGUUCGGAAUUACUGGGCGUAAAGGGCGCGUAGGCGGCCUUCUAAGUCAGACGUGAAAUCCCCCGGCUUAACCUGGGAACUGCGUCUGAUACUGGGAGGCUUGAGUAUGGGAGAGGGAUGUAGAAUUCCAGGUGUAGCGGUGAAAUGCGUAGAUAUCUGGAGGAAUACCGGUGGCGAAGGCGGCAUCCUGGACCAUUACUGACGCUGAGGCGCGAAAGCUAGGGGAGCAAACGGG